UACGUAGGUGGCAAGCGUUGUCCGGAUUUAUUGGGUUUAAAGGGUGCGUAGGCGGUUCUUUAAGUCAGUGGUGAAAUACAGCCGCUCAACGGUUGAGGUGCCAUUGAUACUGAAGAACUUGAGUACAGUCGAGGUAGGCGGAAUUGACGGUGUAGCGGUGAAAUGCUUAGAUAUCGUCAAGAACACCGAUAGCGAAGGCAGCUUACUAGGCUGUAACUGACGCUGAGGCACGAAGGUGCGGGGAUCAAACAGG
Molecule: ribosomal RNA, 253 nt
Filed under: bacterium
Lineage: Bacteria
Also listed under: 1 other name
Description: partial 16S ribosomal RNA
Rfam family: Bacterial small subunit ribosomal RNA
Source: RNAcentral